Long non-coding RNA from Mus musculus (house mouse), 583 nucleotides. RefSeq annotates it as predicted gene, 26878. The transcript has 2 exons. NCBI's taxonomy places the organism in Eukaryota, Metazoa, Chordata, Mammalia, Rodentia, Muridae. The record is from RefSeq and is a predicted model, not a curated record.
GCCUGUAAGAGACAGAAGUAGAAUUUGGUUUUGGGGGCUUCCAUUCAUGGGAUCUCAAGCUGUGCCUGCUGCUGCUUCCUGGCCUCUGGGUCGGGACCCUGGCUGGCGGCAAGGAGAGCCCUGUGUCUGGCUGGGAGCUGGCCGCAGGAUGUGGACUGUUUAUUAUUUCUGGGGCUCAUGGCUAGGCCUCCAUCUGAUGCUGGAAAAGAACGGGUAAAAGACUUUGAAGAAGGUGGAAAGGAGUUUUGUGUCCAAAGAGACAUGGUGGGAGUCAGGGGAUGGAUAGCUAGAGCCGGGCGGCUUCUGUGUCAUGCAGUGAAGCUGUGUCAGGACCUGGUUCUCAUGGUGACACGGCUUGCCUCCCUCGAAGCUGUUAGCAACUUCAUCUCUUCUGCUGAGAGGAAAGGACAGUGGUGUUGACACCAAGGUCUCCGGAGUGGGAGACACUUUGCACCCACACCUAUGGCUUCAACUUCACCAGAAGAAGUGCUAAUCCGCCGGUAUUUGCAACUGGUUCCUGACACCUUCCCGUCCCCCUCAGGAGCAGGGUUGUCACUCAGAGCAAUUAUAUUCCCAGCAACAA